AGCCACCUCUAGCUCCACCAACACCCCCAAAACAAACCUUUCCCCAUCCCCCUAAACUAAACCAUUACUCCAACACCCUAGUAUAGGCGAUAGAAAAGAACAUAUGGAUGCAAUAGAGAACACGUACCGCAAGGGAAAUAUGAAAUAACAAUGAAACCCAGAGCAAAAAACAGCAAAGAUAAACCCUUGUACCUCUUGCAUCAUGAUCUAGCAAGAAUAACCAGGCUAAGCGAACUUAAGCCUGCCCUCCCGAAACCCAAGCGAGCUACUUACAAGCAGCUACUUAUCUGAGCGAACCCGUCUCUGUAGCAAAAGAGUGGGAUGACUUGUCAGUAGGGGUGAAAAGCCUAUCGAGCUGGGUGAUAGCUGGUUGCCUGUGAAAGGAAUCUAAGUCCCACCUUAACCUGCCCAACAGGACAAAAAACUCAAUACGAUCGAGGUUAAGAGCGCCUUAAAGGGGGUACAGCCCCUUUAAAAAGGGAUACAACCCACACCAGCGGAUAAACCUUACAACAUAACGAACAGUAGGCCUUAAAGCAGCCACCUAUAAAGAGUGCGUCAAAGCUCCUUACUUUAAAAAUCCUAUAACAGAGUGACUCCCUCACCACUAACAGGCCAAUCUAUCAGUAUAGAAGAACUAAUGCUACAAUGAGUAACCUGAGAACUCCUCUCUAUAGCGCAAGCUUACAAACCAUUAACAGACCAAAAUAACACCACCAUUCCACAAGAACCCCCUAUUACCCCCCCCCCGUUACCCCCCCCCAGGAGCGCAUAUUAAAAAAAUUAAAAUUCGUAAAAGGAACUAGGCAACCAAAAGACCCGACUGUUUACCAAAAACACAGCCUUCAGCCAACCAAGUAUUGAAGGUGAUGCCUGCCCGGUGACACCCAGUUUAACGGCCGCGGUAUCCUAACCGUGCAAAGGUAGCGCAAUCAAUUGUCCCAUAAAUCGGGACCUGUAUGAACGGCUAAACGAGGUCUUAACUGUCUCUUACGAACAAUCAGUGAAAUUGAUCUCCCCGUGCAAAAGCAGGGAUACACACAUAAGACGAGAAGACCCUGUGGAACUUUAAAAUCAAAGGCCACCAACCCCCACCCCACAACGCCCCUACUGGGCCCCCCACAAUACACCUGGCCCUUAUUUUUCGGUUGGGGCGACCUUGGAGAAAAACAAACCCUCCAAAACAACAGACCUCAAUUCUUGACCUAGAGCUACACCUCGACGUGCUAAUAGCAACACAGACCCGACAGCAGAUCGAGUAAUGAACCAAGCUACCCCAGGGAUAACAGCGCAAUCCCCUCCAAGAGCCCCCAUCGACGAGGGGGUUUACGACCUCGAUGUUGGAUCAGGACAUCCUAAUGGUGCAGCCGCUAUUAAGGGUUCGUUUGUUCAACGAUUAACAGUCCUACGUGAUCUGAGUUCAGACCGGAGCAAUCCAGGUCGGUUUCUAUCUAUGAUAAACUCUUCCCAGUACGAAAGGACCGAAAGAGUGGGGCCACUACCCAACAGCACGCCCCCACAAAAGUAGUGAACUCAACUCAACUACCCCUCACACACCUAUAACCCUAGAAAAGGGCA
RNAcentral lists this ribosomal RNA (1578 nucleotides) under Taenioptynx brodiei brodiei. RNAcentral describes it as "Glaucidium brodiei brodiei 16S ribosomal RNA". It matches the Rfam family "Bacterial large subunit ribosomal RNA". Lineage: Eukaryota; Metazoa; Chordata; Aves; Strigiformes; Strigidae. The record is from RNAcentral.